RNAcentral lists this ribosomal RNA (1064 nucleotides) under Dothideomycetes sp. genotype 702 JMUR-2016. RNAcentral's name for it is "eukaryotic LSU rRNA". The stretch from base 469 to 1064 matches the Rfam family "Eukaryotic large subunit ribosomal RNA", at positions 1 to 600 of the family's 3401-position model. The record is from RNAcentral. Lineage: Eukaryota; Fungi; Ascomycota; Dothideomycetes.
GAUCAUUACUGAGGGGCUCCGACCCCGUCAAGAUACCACCCCUUGUCUUUGAGCACCUUCUGUUUCCUCGGCGGGCUCGCCCGCCAAUGGGGACCACAACAAAACCUUUUUGUAGUUGCAGUAAACGUCUGAAAAUUCAAUAUAAUCAAAACUUUCAACAACGGAUCUCUUGGUUCUGGCAUCGAUGAAGAACGCAGCGAAAUGCGAUAAGUAGUGUGAAUUGCAGAAUUCAGUGAAUCAUCGAAUCUUUGAACGCACAUUGCGCCCUUUGGUAUUCCUUAGGGCAUGCCUGUUCGAGCGUCAUCUCAACCCUCAAGCACUGCUUGGUGUUGGGCGUUUGUCCCGCCUCCGCGCGCGGACUCGCCUCAAAAGCAUUGGCGGCCUGUGUAUUGGCUUCGAGCGCAGCAGACCAGCGCGUCGUCGUUCCUCUCCGCACGGGCGUCCAUCAAGAACGCACCUCUUUUAUUUUGACCUCGGAUCAGGUAGGGAUACCCGCUGAACUUAAGCAUAUCAAUAAGCGGAGGAAAAGAAACCAACAGGGAUUGCCCUAGUAACGGCGAGUGAAGCGGCAAGAGCUCAAAUUUGAAAUCUGGCUCUUUCAGGGCCCGAGUUGUAAUUUGUAGAGGGCGCUUUGGCGUCGGCCACGGUCUAAGUUCCUUGGAACGGGACGUCACAGAGGGUGAGAACCCCGUACGUGGCUGCUGGCCUUCGCCGUGUAAAGCCCCUUCGACGAGUCGAGUUGUUUGGGAAUGCAGCUCUAAAUGGGAGGUAAAUUUCUUCUAAAGCUAAAUACUGGCCAGAGACCGAUAGCGCACAAGUAGAGUGAUCGAAAGAUGAAAAGCACUUUGGAAAGAGAGUCAAAAAGCACGUGAAAUUGUUGAAAGGGAAGCGCUUGCAGCCAGACUUGCCUGUAGUUGCUCAUCCGGGCUCUCGCCCGGUGCACUCUUCUGCGGGCAGGCCAGCAUCAGUCCGGGCGGUCGGAUAAAGGCCUCGGGAAUGUAGCUCCCCUCGGGGAGUGUUAUAGCCCGGGGUGUCAUGCGACCAGCCUGGACUGAGGUCCGCGC